UUUUGUAUAAUGGGUCAGCGACUUAUAUUCUGUAGCAAGGUUAACCGAAUAGGGGAGCCGAAGGGAAACCGAGUCUUAACUGGGCGUUAAGUUGCAGGGUAUAGACCCGAAACCCGGUGAUCUAGCCAUGGGCAGGUUGAAGGUUGGGUAACACUAACUGGAGGACCGAACCGACUAAUGUUGAAAAAUUAGCGGAUGACUUGUGGCUGGGGGUGAAAGGCCAAUCAAACCGGGAGAUAGCUGGUUCUCCCCGAAAGCUAUUUAGGUAGCGCCUCGUGAAUUCAUCUCCGGGGGUAGAGCACUGUUUCGGCAAGGGGGUCAUCCCGACUUACCAACCCGAUGCAAACUGCGAAUACCGGAGAAUGUUAUCACGGGAGACACACGGCGGGUGCUAACGUCCGUCGUGAAGAGGGAAACAACCCAGACCGCCAGCUAAGGUCCCAAAGUCAUGGUUAAGUGGGAAACGAUGUGGGAAGGCCCAGACAGCCAGGAUGUUGGCUUAGAAGCAGCCAUCAUUUAAAGAAAGCGUAAUAGCUCACUGGUCGAGUCGGCCUGCGCGGAAGAUGUAACGGGGCUAAACCAUGCACCGAAGCUGCGGCAGCGACGCUUAUGCGUUGUUGGGUAGGGGAGCGUUCUGUAAGCCUGUGAAGGUGUACUGUGAGGUAUGCUGGAGGUAUCAGAAGUGCGAAUGCUGACAUAAGUAACGAUAAAGCGGGUGAAAAGCCCGCUCGCCGGAAGACCAAGGGUUCCUGUCCAACGUUAAUCGGGGCAGGGUGAGUCGACCCCUAAGGCGAGGCCGAAAGGCGUAGUCGAUGGGAAACAGGUUAAUAUUCCUGUACUUGGUGUUACUGCGAAGGGGGGACGGAGAAGGCUAUGUUGGCCGGGCGACGGUUGUCCCGGUUUAAGCGUGUAGGCUGGUUUUCCAGGCAAAUCCGGAAAAUCAAGGCUGAGGCGUGAUGACGAGGCACUACGGUGCUGAAGCAACAAAUGCCCUGCUUCCAGGAAAAGCCUCUAAGCAUCAGGUAACAUCAAAUCGUACCCCAAACCGACACAGGUGGUCAGGUAGAGAAUACCAAGGCGCUUGAGAGAACUCGGGUGAAGGAACUAGGCAAAAUGGUGCCGUAACUUCGGGAGAAGGCACGCUGAUAUGUAGGUGAAGCGACUUGCUCGUGGAGCUGAAAUCAGUCGAAGAUACCAGCUGGCUGCAACUGUUUAUUAAAAACACAGCACUGUGCAAACACGAAAGUGGACGUAUACGGUGUGACGCCUGCCCGGUGCCGGAAGGUUAAUUGAUGGGGUUAGCGGUAACGCGAAGCUCUUGAUCGAAGCCCCGGUAAACGGCGGCCGUAACUAUAACGGUCCUAAGGUAGCGAAAUUCCUUGUCGGGUAAGUUCCGACCUGCACGAAUGGCGUAAUGAUGGCCAGGCUGUCUCCACCCGAGACUCAGUGAAAUUGAACUCGCUGUGAAGAUGCAGUGUACCCGCGGCAAGACGGAAAGACCCCGUGAACCUUUACUAUAGCUUGACACUGAACAUUGAGCCUUGAUGUGUAGGAUAGGUGGGAGGCUUUGAAGUGUGGACGCCAGUCUGCAUGGAGCCGACCUUGAAAUACCACCCUUUAAUGUUUGAUGUUCUAACGUUGGCCCCUGAUCGGGGUUGCGGACAGUGUCUGGUGGGUAGUUUGACUGGGGCGGUCUCCUCCUAAAGAGUAACGGAGGAGCACGAAGGUUGGCUAAUCCUGGUCGGACAUCAGGAGGUUAGUGCAAUGGCAUAAGCCAGCUUGACUGCGAGCGUGACGGCGCGAGCAGGUGCGAAAGCAGGUCAUAGUGAUCCGGUGGUUCUGAAUGGAAGGGCCAUCGCUCAACGGAUAAAAGGUACUCCGGGGAUAACAGGCUGAUACCGCCCAAGAGUUCAUAUCGACGGCGGUGUUUGGCACCUCGAUGUCGGCUCAUCACAUCCUGGGGCUGAAGUAGGUCCCAAGGGUAUGGCUGUUCGCCAUUUAAAGUGGUACGCGAGCUGGGUUUAGAACGUCGUGAGACAGUUCGGUCCCUAUCUGCCGUGGGCGCUGGAGAACUGAGGGGGGCUGCUCCUAGUACGAGAGGACCGGAGUGGACGCAUCACUGGUGUUCGGGUUGUCAUGCCAAUGGCACUGCCCGGUAGCUAAAUGCGGAAGAGAUAAGUGCUGAAAGCAUCUAAGCACGAAACUUGCCCCGA
Molecule: ribosomal RNA, 2213 nt
Filed under: Escherichia coli
Lineage: Bacteria; Pseudomonadati; Pseudomonadota; Gammaproteobacteria; Enterobacterales; Enterobacteriaceae
Description: partial 23S ribosomal RNA
Rfam family: Bacterial large subunit ribosomal RNA
Source: RNAcentral